GAGGUGCUCAGGGACGACCCCCAGACCGGAUCCUUGACCCAGACCAGGAGGGACGACCCCCAGACCAGGAGGGUCGCCAGGCAUGAAGAGACGAGGAGAGGACGGGAUUUCCCUCUCCAGAGCCAACCUCCGAGCGGCGCUGGACGUCACCUGAACAACGGCAGCGUCUCCGCCGGCCAGCGACUCUUCCGAAGACGUCCCGGACGUCGCCGGCUGCAGCGACGACAACCGGCGGUGAAGACGACGUAACCUCCUCAUCACGACCACCGCCAGGGACUCGGAGGACGACUGGGAUCUGGGAGAGUUUCAUCUGAAGUUCUGGGUCGGGGACGGUUUCAUGUUC
Long non-coding RNA from Cololabis saira (Pacific saury), 343 nucleotides. RefSeq lists it as uncharacterized. Lineage: Eukaryota; Metazoa; Chordata; Actinopteri; Beloniformes; Belonidae. The record is from RefSeq and is a predicted model, not a curated record. The transcript is spliced from 3 exons.